GUGCAGCAGUCGAGAAUUUUUCACAAUGGGGGCAACCCUGAUGGAGCGACGCCGCGUGGAGGAUGAAGGCUUUCGGGUUGUAAACUCCUGUCAUUUGAGAACAAGUGUAGCCAACUAACUAUUGGCUACUUGAUAGUAUCAGAAGAGGAAGGGACGGCUAACUCUGUGCCAGCAGCCGCGGUAAUACAGAGGUCCCAAGCGUUGUUCGGAUUCAUUGGGCGUAAAGGGUGCGUAGGUGGCGCCGUAAGUGGGGUGUGAAAUUUCGGAGCUUAACUCCGAAACUGCAUUCCAUACUGCGGUGCUUGAGGACUGGAGAGGAGACUGGAAUUCAUGGUGUAGCAGUGAAAUGCGUAGAGAUCAUGAGGAAGACCAGUGGCGAAGGCGGGUCUCUGGACAGUUCCUGACACUGAGGCACGAAGGCUAGGGGAGCGAACGGGAUUAGAUACCCGCGUAGU
Molecule: ribosomal RNA, 455 nt
Filed under: uncultured organism
Description: bacterial SSU rRNA
Rfam family: Bacterial small subunit ribosomal RNA
Source: RNAcentral